GAGUUUGAUCCUGGCUCAGGAUGAACGCUGGCGGUCAGCUUAACACAUGCAAGUCGAACGGGAGUAGAAAUACUCCAGUGGCGGACGGGUGAGUAACGCGUGAGAAUCUGCCUUCUGGUCGGGGACAACCACUGGAAACGGUGGCUAAUACCGGAUGAGCCGAAGGGUAAAAGAUAAAUUGCCAGAAGAGGAGCUCGCGUCUGAUUAGCUAGUUGGUAGGGUAAAAGCCUACCAAGGCAUCGAUCAGUAGCUGGUCUGAGAGGACGAUCAGCCACACUGGGACUGAGACACGGCCCAGACUCCUACGGGAGGCAGCAGUGGGGAAUUUUCCGCAAUGGGCGAAAGCCUGACGGAGCAAGACCGCGUGAGGGAAGAAGGCUCUUGGGUCGUAAACCUCUUUUGUUAGGGAAGAACACAAUGACGGUACCUAACGAAUCAGCCUCGGCUAACUCCGUGCCAGCAGCCGCGGUAAUACGGAGGAGGCAAGCGUUAUCCGGAAUUAUUGGGCGUAAAGCGUCCGCAGGUGGCGAUUCAAGUCUGCGGUCAAAGACUGGGGCUUAACCCUGGAAAGGCCGUGGAAACUGAAGAGCUAGAGUGCAGUAGGGGUAGAGGGAAUUCCCGGUGUAGCGGUGAAAUGCGUAGAGCUCGGGAAGAACAUCGGUGGCGAAAGCGCUCUGCUGGACUGCAACUGACACUCAGGGACGAAAGCUAGGGGAGCGAAUGGGAUUAGAUACCCCAGUAGUCCUAGCCGUAAACGAUGGAUACUAGGUGUGGCUUGUAUCGACCCGAGCCGUGCCGUAGCUAACGCGUUAAGUAUCCCGCCUGGGGAGUACGCACGCAAGUGUGAAACUCAAAGGAAUUGACGGGGGCCCGCACAAGCGGUGGAGUAUGUGGUUUAAUUCGAUGCAACGCGAAGAACCUUACCAGGGCUUGACAUGUCGCGAAUCUCUUGGAAACGAGAGAGUGCCUUCGGGAGCGCGAACACAGGUGGGGCAUGGCUGUCGUCAGCUCGUGUCGUGAGAUGUUGGGUUAAGUCCCGCAACCAGCGCAACCC
RNAcentral lists this ribosomal RNA (1054 nucleotides) under uncultured bacterium. Its description in RNAcentral is "bacterial SSU rRNA". It matches the Rfam family "Bacterial small subunit ribosomal RNA", at positions 9 to 1104 of the family's 1533-position model. The record is from RNAcentral.